RNAcentral lists this non-coding RNA (29 nucleotides) under Mus musculus (house mouse). The record is from RNAcentral. Lineage: Eukaryota; Metazoa; Chordata; Mammalia; Rodentia; Muridae.
UGUGUUAAGAAAGGCUAUCUUUAUCCUGU